RNAcentral lists this unclassified non-coding RNA (602 nucleotides) under Hevea brasiliensis (rubber tree). Lineage: Eukaryota; Viridiplantae; Streptophyta; Magnoliopsida; Malpighiales; Euphorbiaceae. The record is from RNAcentral.
GGAAAAACAGACUCAUAAAAAAUAACAUGUCUGGAAAUGAAGAUUUCUCUGGUAGAAAGAUCAAAGAGAAUAUAUCCUUUAGUACCAGAUUUAUAUCCAAGAAAAAUACAUUUCCUUGCUCUAGGGUCAAAUUUAGACCUGUGAGCAGUCAAAGUAGAAGCAAAACACAAAGCUCCAAAAACUUUUAAAUCAUGAAGAUCAGGAAGAGUGUUGUAAAAUAUUUCAUAUGGUUAUCUAUUUUCAAGUAAUGGGGUAGGUAAUCUGUUAAUGAGAUAAACUGAAUGCACAACAGCAUAAGACCAAAAGAUUUUGGGUAAAUUUGCUUGAAAUAAAAGUGCUCUUGCAAUAUUGAGGAUAUGCUGAUGUUUUCUUUCCACUACAGCAUUCUGUUGUGGUGUUUCAACACAUGUAAUCUGAUGCUCAAUACCUUUGGAAGAAUAAAAAUGUGGCAUAGCAAAUUCUAAUCCAUUGUCACUUUGAAUGAUUUUGAUUUUUGUGGAAAACUGAGUUUCUACUAGAGUAAUAAAGGAUUGAAGUAAAGAAGAUGCCUCAGAUUUUUGUUUCAUUAGGAAAAGCCAUGUAUUUCUGGAGAAAUCAUCUAC